GUACGCGAGCUGGGUUCAGAACGUCGUGAGACAGUUCGGUCCCUAUCCGUCGUGGGCGCAGGAAAUUUGAGAGGAUCUGUCCUUAGUACGAGAGGACCGGGAUGGACAUACCUCUGGUGUACCAGUUGUUCUGCCAAGAGCACCGCUGGGUAGCUACGUAUGGAUUAGAUAAUCGCUGAAAGCAUCUAAGUGAGAAACUAACCUCGAGAUGAGAUUUCCCAUUCGUCAGAAGUAAGACCCCUGAGAGACGAUCAGGUAGAUAGGCUAGAAGUGGAAGUGUAGUGAUGCAUGGAGCGGACUAGUACUAAUAGGUCGAGGACUUAACCAAG
This 329-nucleotide ribosomal RNA is filed under the name Oenococcus oeni. RNAcentral describes it as "bacterial LSU rRNA". It matches the Rfam family "Bacterial large subunit ribosomal RNA", at positions 2596 to 2925 of the family's 2925-position model. The record is from RNAcentral. Lineage: Bacteria; Bacillati; Bacillota; Bacilli; Lactobacillales; Lactobacillaceae.